Ochotona curzoniae (black-lipped pika) is the source of this 568-nucleotide long non-coding RNA. RefSeq lists it as uncharacterized. Lineage: Eukaryota; Metazoa; Chordata; Mammalia; Lagomorpha; Ochotonidae. The transcript is spliced from 3 exons. The record is from RefSeq and is a predicted model, not a curated record.
GGCCCUCAGCCGCGGUGGGGACGCGGGCCGCUCGGUCGUCGCGCUGCGGCGCGCGGUGCGGGAGAGGGGGGCGGGGGGCGCGAGAUCCAGAAGCGUCCCAGUAUCCCCAAAAGGUCCCGAGGACGGCCAAGGAGUGGGAGCGGUAUCCCGUCCCCACGCGAGGGAGGGUUCGAAUCCCGACUGCUGCGCCCCGGACUGCGCAAGGGCCUGACGUUGCCGGUAGAUUAUUCAGAAGGGCGUCUGCAGUGGAGUGAAGACACCUGUGAACGCCUUGUAAUGGUUAUUUGCCCCCCCCCUGCGCCCAGGGUCCAGCGUGGGAGAAUGCAGUUUUUAUCUACCGGUGCAGUCUGGCAAAGUUUAAGUCCGGUGCAGUCAACCCCAGGAGCUCCAAGUUCGGCUAAUGAUUCUUUGUACUCGUCCCCAACCUUGAGACACAGGGAAUUCCCACAAAUGCUAAUGAACAGUUUUCAGAUGCAAAGGAAUCCUUCUCCGAGGCCCUCUGGAGGAAAGCAGGGCUUAGUUCUGGCAAAAAGUGCUCCCUGCCUGUGGCCUGGGAAAGCAGUCGAGG